RNAcentral lists this ribosomal RNA (372 nucleotides) under uncultured Desulfocapsa sp. RNAcentral describes it as "bacterial SSU rRNA". It matches the Rfam family "Bacterial small subunit ribosomal RNA", at positions 1010 to 1382 of the family's 1533-position model. The record is from RNAcentral. Lineage: Bacteria; Pseudomonadati; Thermodesulfobacteriota; Desulfobulbia; Desulfobulbales; Desulfocapsaceae.
UCCCUUCCCGGUCGGGGACAGGGUGACAGGUGGUGCAUGGUUGUCGUCAGCUCGUGUCGUGAGAUGUUGGGUUAAGUCCCGCAACGAGCGCAACCCCUAUCUUUAGUUGCCAUCAUUGAGUUGGGCACUCUAAAGAGACUGCCGGUGUCAAACCGGAGGAAGGUGGGGAUGACGUCAAGUCCUCAUGGCCUUUAUGACCAGGGCUACACACGUACUACAAUGGCCGGUACAAAGGGCAGCGACACAGCGAUGUGAAGCGAAUCCCGAAAAGCCGGUCUCAGUCCGGAUUGGAGUCUGCAACUCGACUCCAUGAAGUUGGAAUCGCUAGUAAUCGCGGAUCAGCACGCCGCGGUGAAUACGUUCCCGGGCCUU